UGCGAACUCCUACGGGAGGCAGCAGUGGGGAAUUUUGGACAAUGGGGGCAACCCUGAUCCAGCAAUGCCGCGUGAGUGAAGAAGGCCUUCGGGUUGUAAAGCUCUUUUGUCAGGGAAGAAACGGUAGUAGCUAAUAUCUAUUACUAAUGACGGUACCUGAAGAAUAAGCACCGGCUAACUACGUGCCGGCAGCCGCGGUAAUACGUAGGGUGCAAGCGUUAAUCGGGAUUACUGGGCGUAAAGCGUGCGCAGGCGGUUGUGUAAGUCAGAUGUGAAAUCCCCGGGCUCAACCUGGGAAUUGCAUUUGAGACUGCACGGCUAGAGUGUGUCAGAGGGGGGUAGAAUUCCACGUGUAGCAGUGAAGUGCGUAGAUAUGUGGAGGAUUACCGAUGGCGAAGGCAGCCCCCUGGGAUAACACUGACGCUCAUGCACAAAAGCGUGGGGAGCAAACAGGAUUAGAUACCCUAGUAGUCCAGAUG
RNAcentral lists this ribosomal RNA (479 nucleotides) under uncultured bacterium. Its description in RNAcentral is "bacterial SSU rRNA". It matches the Rfam family "Bacterial small subunit ribosomal RNA", at positions 330 to 801 of the family's 1533-position model. The record is from RNAcentral.